ACGAACGCUGGCGGCGUGCUUAACACAUGCAAGUCGAGCGGUAAGGCCCUUCGGGGUACACGAGCGGCGAACGGGUGAGUAACACGUGAGCAACCUGCCCCUGACUCCGGGAUAAGCGGUGGAAACGCCGUCUAAUACCGGAUAUGACACACCAUCUCCUGGUGGUGUGUGGAAAGUUGUAUCGGUCAGGGAUGGGCUCGCGGCCUAUCAGCUUGUUGGUGGGGUAAAGGCCUACCAAGGCGAUUACGGGUAGCCGGCCUGAGAGGGCGACCGGCCACACUGGGACUGAGACACGGCCCAGACUCCUACGGGAGGCAGCAGUGGGGAAUAUUGCACAAUGGGCGAAAGCCUGAUGCACCGACGCCGCGUGGGGGAUGACGGCCUUCGGGUUGUAAACCUCUUUUACCACCAACGCAGGCCCCGGGUUCUCUCGGGGUUGACGGUAGGUGGGGAAUAAGGACCGGCUAACUACGUGCCAGCAGCCGCGGUAAUACGUAGGGUCCGAGCGUUGUCCGGAAUUAUUGGGCGUAAAGAGCUCGUAGGCGGCGUGUCGCGUCUGCUGUGAAAGACCGGGGCUUAACCCCGGUUCUGCAGUGGAUA
This 600-nucleotide ribosomal RNA is filed under the name Nocardiopsis sp. YIM C806. RNAcentral's name for it is "bacterial SSU rRNA". It matches the Rfam family "Bacterial small subunit ribosomal RNA", at positions 29 to 632 of the family's 1533-position model. Lineage: Bacteria; Bacillati; Actinomycetota; Actinomycetes; Streptosporangiales; Nocardiopsidaceae. The record is from RNAcentral.